Molecule: long non-coding RNA, 1954 nt
Filed under: Lactuca sativa (garden lettuce)
Lineage: Eukaryota; Viridiplantae; Streptophyta; Magnoliopsida; Asterales; Asteraceae
Description: long non-coding RNA (LSAT_LNC000017)
Source: RNAcentral
UUGGAAUUCUAUUUUGAUGGGAUGGCGGAUAAAUCAUCAUCAGUUCCGACAAUAAAUCCAAACAAUCAUCUUAAAUUAAUCUACACCAAUUGGUUAUGACUUCUACCAUUGAAACGUAUUCACAACUUAGAGAAAAACAACCUCCUAUACUACAAAAGCUAGAGGUUGCUAAAAAUUAAUUUCCAAUAUUCAGAAAUGUGAACUCAUGCAAUCACAAUUCACUUACAUAGGGUAUAAACAGUGAAAAUAAUUGAAAUUACAACAAAACAGAAAAACAUUAACUUGACAGAAAUAGAAAUUUAGCAAAUGAAAGCUGUGAAAUUAACCACAAUACAUAAUUAGUCAUACUUCCACUAAUUAAUCAUACAAUAAUAAGAAGACAAAACAUAAUCCACUCAGCAGUAAACGGAAUGAUCAAGAACUUUUACCUCUUCCUAUUAGAAUUUAAGAUAACUGGAAUUGAAGAUUGUAGGAGAAUGAGAGCAACGAAUGACAACAGGAUAAGUGGGUGCACCCCCAACCAGCCUUAACUUAAAAUCAAUUGAAUAUAUCAACAAUUCGACAUAUAAUUUUAUAAACAACCAAAUGAUUAGUGAAAAAAAAAAUCAAGAUUCAAGAAAGGUGAACUAAUUAUCUUUUUACUCGAAUGGAGUUUGGAGAAUAUCAAUAAUCAAUAACACAUAGGUAAAUCUGGUGACGGUACCAAAUCAGAAACAUUAAACCUCCAGGAUGCGAGUUUCUUCAGGCUUCUUCAAUUCAACCAAAACAAUAGUUGAUUAAUAAGAAAUGUUACAUAAAAUAUAUAAUCCUAAUCAUGUAGAAAAGAUAUAAAAAGAAUAAGAUAUUGAUCUCAUUUACAGAGGUAGUGGUGAUGGCAAAAAAGUUUUCUUCUUCACCAACCUUGUGUCUCCAGGUCUACAGAAAACAUAAGGGUCUGUUGAUUAGGUUUACUAAACAAAGUAAUUUUCAAUUUACUAAGAACCUCAUGCAACCAGACAUCAAACUGUUCUAUAGAAAUUGGUCAUUUUCGAUUAUUGGGAUCUAUUCGUUUAUCCUUAAAAAUCAAAUAAAUUCAUACAAAUUUUUAACCUGAUUGUUCCCUAUUCAAAAUCAGAGCAGCACAACCAAUGCAGAAGAACCAAUUUUAUAAUUAUGCAGCAUUCCAAGAAAUGUUUUUUUUUUCAAGUGUGCAAGAGCAAAAAUCUCAUGUACUUGUAUUGUUGCACCAACUAAUACUAUAGAACUAAUGCUUUUCUUAUCAAAAUAAGUGAUUGGUUUGAUAUAAUAAGAGUGUAAACACCAAAGGGUCUAAGAAGCACCGCGAUUUUAAAGCAUUUGCUACAGAUUAUUGUUUGACAUCAGGUAUGUCGAUAUAUCUGAAUCAUUUCAAACAUAUAAAUAUAUAAAUGCAUCAUUUUUAAUGAAGCUAAAUUACAAUCUUCUUUGUCGUUGUGUUACAGGUCUCUCAGUAUGUGAGAAUUAGGUCAAAUAGAAAAAAGAUUGGAAAAACAUACCAGGUAAAUGUCGAUAACAACUGAGGAAUGAAGGAAAUAGAUGAAUCAGAAAUUGAUGGCUUAGCAUUGUCAUUGUCCUCACCUCUUCGCUGGUGGUGACGAUUAGAGUUGUGGAGACUGUUAGGGUUUCUCAUCAUAACAGAACGUAGAGGAUGGGCAAGAGAAGGGGUGGCAAUGGCAGUGGCUAGAUAAGGUUUCAAAAGUUGGAUCUUCAUUAGACACAUGUGCGAUUGGGGUUUUGAGAAGAGAAACAGAUGUAAAGAAAAGUAGAGUUGUAGGGCAUCGAUCAUCCAGGUUAGAAGGAAUCAUCCAGGUUAGGAGGUCGAGCAUUUUAGUGAGCGGCGAUUGUGAUGUAUCGAGGAGAAACACCGGAAACUAAAGUGAGUUAGAAGAGAGGCGAUAGAGGGGGUGGGUUUGACGGCGUCAAAUGAUGUAUCGAG